UGCAGUCAAGUCAAAUUCAGUGCCCGUUCCUGUCAUAGCGGGGGCUGGCCCAGAUGGCUGCCACAGCAAGCUCGACAGCUCAUGGGCCCUGGGUCGCCUAUCCUGGGACCUGGGGAUAGUUUGACUGUGGACACUA
Cercocebus atys (sooty mangabey) is the source of this 136-nucleotide small nucleolar RNA. Ensembl annotates it as small nucleolar RNA, H/ACA box 5C. Its record names the gene SNORA5C. The record is from Ensembl. Lineage: Eukaryota; Metazoa; Chordata; Mammalia; Primates; Cercopithecidae.